RNAcentral lists this ribosomal RNA (463 nucleotides) under uncultured bacterium. Its description in RNAcentral is "bacterial SSU rRNA". It matches the Rfam family "Bacterial small subunit ribosomal RNA", at positions 1 to 507 of the family's 1533-position model. The record is from RNAcentral.
CGUACGACGUAGUUUGACUCCUGGCUACAGAACGAACGCUGGCGGCAUGCCUAACACAUGCAAGUCGAACGAGACCUUCGGGUCUAGUGGCGCACGGGUGCGUAACACGUGGGAAUUUGCCUCGGGGUAUGGAAUAACUCAGGGAAACUUGAGCUAAUACCAUAUAAUGUCUUCGGACCAAAGAUUUAUCGCCCUGAGAUAAGCCCGCGUAGGAUUAGCUAGUUGGUGAGGUAAAGGCUCACCAAGGCGACGAUCCUUAGCUGGUCUGAGAGGAUGAUCAGCCACACUGGGACUGAGACACGGCCCAGACUCCUACGGGAGGCAGCAGUGGGGAAUAUUGGACAAUGGGCGAAAGCCUGAUCCAGCAAUGCCGCGUGAGUGAUGAAGGCCUUCGGGUUGUAAAGCUCUUUUACUCGGGACGAUAAUGACGGUACCGAGAGAAUAAGCCCCGGCUAACUCCGUG